UACGUAGGGGGCGAGCGUUGUCCGGAAUUAUUGGGCGUAAAGAGCGUGUAGGCGGUUCGGUAAGUCCGCCGUGAAAAUCCGAGGCUCAACCUCGGGCUUGCGGUGGAUACUGUCGGGCUAGAGGAUGGUAGAGGGGAUCUGGAAUUCCUGGGUGUAGCGGUGAAAUGCGCAGAUAUCAGGAGGAACACCGGUGGCGAAGGCGGGAUCCUGGGCCGUUGCUGACACUGAGGCGCGAAAGCUGGGGGAGCGAACAGGAUUAGAAACCCCG
RNAcentral lists this ribosomal RNA (268 nucleotides) under uncultured bacterium. RNAcentral's name for it is "partial 16S ribosomal RNA". It matches the Rfam family "Bacterial small subunit ribosomal RNA", at positions 524 to 789 of the family's 1533-position model. The record is from RNAcentral.